CAAUAGCGUAUAUUAAAGUUGUUGCAGUUCAAAAGCUCGUAGUUGGACCUUGGACCUGGACAGGCGGUCCGCCUCACGGCGUGUACUGUCUUGCUGGGUCUUUCCUCUUGGUGAUCUGUUGUUUCGGCAGCAGGGAACCAGGACUUUUACUUUGAAAAAAUUAGAGUGUUCAAAGCAGGCUCGACGCCGGAAUAUAUUAGCAUGGAAUAAUAAAAUAGGACGUGCGGUUCUAUUUUGUUGGUUUUUGGAAUCGCCGUAAUGAUUAAUAGGGACAGUCGGGGGCAUUAGUACUCACAUGCUAGAGGUGAAAUUCUUGGAUUUUGUGAAGACUAACUUCUGCGAAAGCAUUUGCCAAGGAUGUUUUCAUUAA
This 370-nucleotide ribosomal RNA is filed under the name uncultured eukaryote. Its description in RNAcentral is "partial 18S ribosomal RNA". It matches the Rfam family "Eukaryotic small subunit ribosomal RNA", at positions 592 to 976 of the family's 1831-position model. The record is from RNAcentral.